UGAUGAUGAUGAUGAUGAUGAUGGUGUGAUAUCAUUCUUAUUUUUACCCCAUCAUCGCCCAGCAUUGCUGGCGCUUUGAUCAAGCAUUACGCUUACACCAUCAUCAUCAUCGUCA
This 115-nucleotide microRNA precursor is filed under the name Bigelowiella natans CCMP2755. RNAcentral describes it as "miRNA EPrBNAG00000013157". The record is from RNAcentral. Lineage: Eukaryota; Cercozoa; Chlorarachniophyceae.